Molecule: ribosomal RNA, 433 nt
Filed under: uncultured bacterium
Lineage: Bacteria
Description: partial 16S ribosomal RNA
Rfam family: Bacterial small subunit ribosomal RNA
Source: RNAcentral
AACGAACGCUGGCGGCAUGCCUAACACAUGCAAGUCGAACGAGACCUCCCGUUCUAGUGUCCCCCGGGUGCGUAACGCGUGGUAACCUGCCCUUAGCUUCGGCAUAACUUCGCGAUAGGGGUGCUAAUACCGUAUAAUUUCUUCGUAUCAAAGAGUUGUCGCCUUUGGAUGGGGCCGCGUUGGAUUGGCUAGUUGUUAGGGUAAAAGCUUACCAAGGCGAGGUUCCAUAGCUGGUCUGAGAGGAUGAUCAGCUACACUGGGACAAAGACACGGCCCAGACGCGUAGGGGAGGCAGCGGUGGGGAAUAUUGGAGAAUGGGCGAAAGACUGAUCCAGCAAUGGCGCGAGAAUGAUGAAGGCCUUAGAGUUGUAUAGCUCUUUUAACCGGGAUUAUUAUGACAGUACCGGGAGAAUAAGCACCGGCUAACUACGUG